This 240-nucleotide unclassified non-coding RNA is filed under the name soil metagenome. RNAcentral describes it as "partial contains 5.8S ribosomal RNA, internal transcribed spacer 2, and large subunit ribosomal RNA". The record is from RNAcentral.
AACGAGGCCGACCUGCGGCUGAGUUACCUGCGGAGGGAUCAUUACCGAGUGAGGACCUUCCGGGUCCAACCUCCCACCCGUGUUUAACGAACCUUGUUGCUUCGGCGGGCCCGCCUCACGGCCGCCGGGGGGGACUCCGCCCCCGGGCCCGCGCCCGCCGAAGACACCUGUGAACGCUGUCUGAAGUUGCAGUCUGAGACACUAGCUCAAUCAGUUAAAACUUUCAGCAAUGGAUCUCAG